Populus nigra (black poplar) is the source of this 1660-nucleotide RNA transcript. It is a transcript of the gene named plasmodesmata-located protein 2, with no coding region annotated. The record is from RefSeq and is a predicted model, not a curated record. NCBI's taxonomy places the organism in Eukaryota, Viridiplantae, Streptophyta, Magnoliopsida, Malpighiales, Salicaceae. The transcript has 4 exons.
UAUUGGACAGUGUACUAGUAGUGGGGAGAGGUGAGAGAGAAAAGAGACCGCUCCAGCUCUCUGACUCUGCACAUAUACAGAGAAAAAGAAGUAAAGUGAAUCACAAACACCAGAAAGCUAAAACCAAAACCGAAAGACAGUUUUUUUGAGCAAUUCAAAGCACAGCCAGAACCCAACACAACUCCUUCAUUUUCCUCCUACUGUUCUGUUUUAGUCAGAACCCAUUUCUCAAAUCAUCCUUCCAAAACCUGUCAUGAUUUGAUCCAUUUCGGCCAUUUCCCAAAUGGGUAUUCCCUUGAAACCUUUUUCUUGCUUCUUCUUUCUCUGUCUUCUCUCUGUCAAUCUUUCUCAGUCUGCCCUUGAUUACAGCACCUUGGUCUACAAGGGUUGUGCGAAGCAAGCUUUUCAAGAUCCAAAUGGUGUCUAUUCACAAGCCAUCUCUGCCCUUUUUGGCUCUUUAGUCUCGCAGUCCACCAAAACCAAGUUCUUUAAGACCACCACCGGGACUGGCCAAACAACCAUAACUGGUCUCUUUCAAUGCAGGGGAGACCUUAGUAAUACUGACUGCUACAACUGUGUCAGCAAACUUCCAGUUUUAACAGACAAACUCUGUGGCAAAACAAUAGCUGCAAGAAUCCAGCUUUAUGGAUGCUACAUUUUGUAUGAAGUUGCUGGCUUUACACAAAUUUCAGGUAUGGAAAUGCUGUACAAGACUUGUGGGGCUACAAAUGUGGCAGGAAGUGGGUUUGAAGAGAGAAGAGAUACUGCCUUUUCGGUGAUGCAAAAUGGUGUGGUUAGUAGCCAUGGCUUCUACGCCACCAACUACCAAUCUAUGUAUGUUUUGGGGCAGUGCGAGGGUGAUGUUGGAGAUUCAGAUUGUGGCGAGUGUGUGAAAACUGCUGUUCAGAGAGCUCAAGUUGAGUGUGGGAACUCUAUUUCAGGCCAAAUCUAUCUGCAUAAAUGCUUUAUUAGUUACAGUUAUUAUCCAAAUGGGGUGCCCAGGAGAUCAUCAUCUUCUUCCUCGUCUUCCAAUUCAUUUUCAUCAGGGACAGGGCAAAAUACGGGGAAGACAGUGGCCGUUAUAGUAGGAGGGGCAGCUGGUGUUGGGUUCUUGGUCAUUUGCUUAUUGUUUGCAAGAGGUUUGCUGAAGAAACAUGAUGAUUUUUAAGAGAAAGAGAUGGAUCUUAAAGAGGAGGCAAGCAAUCAUCUUUCCUCGAGAUGUGUUUCUUCUCUUCUCAUCUCUUUCUGGGCCUGGAUUAGCUAUGAUAUUGCCUAGAAGAUGUAGGCGAUUUGAUGUAGAGCCUCGGGUUGGUUACAAAAAAUGGAAACUCAAAAACACCAUCAUUUUCUUGCAUGAUGCCGAACAGUUUUGUUGUGAUUAUUAAAUGGUGAUAACUCCUCCUGUAAGAUUUCGCAUGAACCAAUUGACUAAACUGCUGAUAGAAUAGAGACAAUCCAGUGUGGUGGUCCUUCUCCCAAGUCCUUACAAAAGAGUGCUGGAGGAGACAGCUAGAUGCAAUUAUCAUGCAUCGUUAGCACCUUGGAGUAUAUAUAGCAAGCUGUCUUUCCAUGGCAACAAACAUGUUAUUUUUUUAUUCAAUGCAGCAAUAUCUAAGCUUGUUUUAUUCAAUGCAGCAAUAACAGGUUAAAGUUCAAGUUA